RNAcentral lists this ribosomal RNA (274 nucleotides) under Loma morhua. Its description in RNAcentral is "partial small subunit ribosomal RNA". It matches the Rfam family "Microsporidia small subunit ribosomal RNA", at positions 687 to 960 of the family's 1311-position model. Lineage: Eukaryota; Fungi; Microsporidia; Glugeidae. The record is from RNAcentral.
AAACGAUGCCGAUGUCGUGGUGCCGAAUAAUGGCGACGCGAAAGAGAAAUCGAGUAGGGCCCUGGGGAGAGUACACGCGCAAGCGAGAAAUUUAAAGGAAAUUGACGGAAGAACACCACAAGGAGUGGAGUGUGCGGCUUAAUUUGACUCAACGCGGGACAACUUACCGGGCCCGACGACCGUAAGAGUGUGACACACGAUAGGUCGAAGAGUGGUGCAUGGCCGUUAACGACGAGUGGAGUGAUCUUUGGGUUAAGUCCGUAAAUUAGUGAGA